GCGGAGACUUUAGAGGCAUUGGAAAAGGGCGGGCGGCGGCAGAGUGGGCCGAGGCGGCACCCGAGGAGGCCACGGGGGUACUCGAGGUCCCACUAGAAGCUCGCGCGCCGCGCGUGGGUUUGGAGGAUUUGGGACAACAUCUACAACUGCAGGUUCUGCAUUCAGCUUUUCUGCCCCCACUAACACAGGCACUACUGGACUCUUCGGUGGUACUCAGAACAAAGGUUUUGGAUUUGGUACUGGUUUUGGCACAACAACAGGAACUAGUACUGGUUUAGGUACUGGUUUGGGAACUGGACUGGGAUUUGGAGGAUUUAAUACACAACAGCAGCAGCAGCAAACUACAUUAGGUGGUCUCUUCAGUCAGCCUGCACAAGCUCCUACCCAGUCCAACCAGCUGAUAAACACUGCGAGUGCUCUGUCUGCUCCAACGCUGUUGGGAGAUGAGAGAGAUGCUAUUUUGGCAAAAUGGAAUCAACUGCAGGCCUUUUGGGGAACAGGAAAAGGGUAUUUCAACAAUAAUAUUCCGCCAGUGGAAUUCACACAAGAAAAUCCCUUUUGCCGAUUUA
This 569-nucleotide small RNA is filed under the name Pongo abelii (Sumatran orangutan). RNAcentral's name for it is "processed transcript". Lineage: Eukaryota; Metazoa; Chordata; Mammalia; Primates; Hominidae. The record is from RNAcentral.